CCUACGGGUGGCAGCAGUGGGGAAUAUUGGGCAAUGGGCGCAAGUCUGACCCAGCAAUGCCGCGUGAAGGAAGAAGGUCUUCGGGUUGUAAAGUUCUUUAGUCAGGGAAGAAGUAAGUGACGGUACCUGACGAAUAAGCCACGGCUAACUACGUGCCAGCAGCCGCGGUAAUACGUAGGGGGCAAGCGUUGUUCGGAAUGACUGGGCGUAAAGGGUGCGUAGGCGGUUGUACAAGUUAGAAGUGAAAUACCCAGGGCUUAACUCGGGUGCUGCUUCUAAAACUGUAUGACUUGAGUGCAGUAGAGGUUAGUGGAAUUCCUAGUGUAGCGGUGGAAUGCGUAGAUAUUAGGAGGAACACCAGAGGCGAAGGCGGCUAACUGGACUGCAACUGACGCUGAGGCACGAAAGUGUGGGGAGCAAACAGGAUUAGAUACCCCGGUAGUC
RNAcentral lists this ribosomal RNA (444 nucleotides) under uncultured bacterium. Its description in RNAcentral is "partial 16S ribosomal RNA". It matches the Rfam family "Bacterial small subunit ribosomal RNA", at positions 338 to 795 of the family's 1533-position model. The record is from RNAcentral.